GGGAGCGGGGUCGCGGGGCGCUCGCCUUUGUUUUCAUUAACUCUGCGGGGUCUGGCGGUUUUAUUUUCUUUUUUCAGUAUUUCUUUUAUCCUUCCCCCGCACCGUCGCUAUUUCUUUCCCCCCAUUUAUUUAUUUCCUUCCCCCCCCCUUUCCUCUCUCUCCCGUCUCUUCGCUCUCUCCGGAGGCGCGGCAGCGGAGCCGGCGAGGGGAACACGGAGCGCAGUGCGCGGUGGGGUUUGUUAAUCCUGCCAACAAGUCGGGACAGGGCCUCUCUGGGAAGCAACACCAGUCUCGUUCCAGAAGAACAAAAUAACAGCAUGAGGCUGAAACCUGGCACGAACCGGGGGGAACGAAACCAUCUGCCCCGCAAGGCACCGAGGCCCUGCGCGGAGCUCGCUGCAACCUCCCAGCCCCGCAGUGCCUCAGCAGCCGUGGGGAGGGCGGCUGCCUGAUGGGGAGGAAGAUGGGGGUCCUGAGGGGCAACCGCUUCUCCGGGAAACCUCAUGCCUUCCCUUUUCCCUUUUCCCUUUUCCCUUUUCCCUUUUCCCUUUUCCUUCUCCCUCUCCUCUCCGGAAAUUGGAGAGAUGAAUUUUAAAGGAAGAGGGUGACAAACAGAAUGCGGUCCGGUCAAACCCCGCUCCGCUCUCUUUCUAAAACCUGGGAUACGAGCGCUGGCUCGGCGCACGGAGCGCUGUAGCAUCCCGGGGGCUCCAUCCCGGGCUGCGUGCGGGGCUGCGCGGGGCGGCACGCGAGCGGGGGGCGGCGGGCUGCCCGCAGCGCCGGCUUAUGGAAAUGGGAUUUAAAUCGUGCCUCGGCCCUGGCUGCGGGGGCGCGGGGAGGGGGGCACGCUCCGCCGCCGACAAAAGCUCCCAGAACACGCCGUUUCCAUACGAACGAACCUCCGCGGAGCUAUUUUCUCCUGCCCGCGGGAGCUCCGCAGGCGGCCGCCCGGCGGGGCGAGGAGCGUUCGGGCCGGGCGGCCCAGAGCCGAGCCGAGGUCCGCACCACGCAGAGGUCCGAGGUGUAGAGAUUGGGACCGGGCUGCCUGGGAACGGGGCCGCUGGUCGGGAGCGGGCAGUGGGCAGCGGGGCGGCCCCUCGUGUGUAACAGGAUUAUCUUUGCCAUUUCAAGUUCCAUGCAGCAUGUAAUUUAUUUUUAAUUAGGAUUAGAUCGAGCAGGGAAGGAGACCAGACCUUUCCCCCACCUCCCCCUCUCCGCAAAGGCAUGGCUAUUCCACGAGGAGCUCUUAUUCUUUACAAAAAAAGCCAAUCAAUCGAUAAACCAGGACCUGUGUUCACCUCCCACGCACUUUGCAGGAGAAAAGGGUGAAAAGGGCUGUAUUUUCAAUGUGUGCUCAAGUAUCUGAAUCAGAAGGGAAGGCUUGGAAAUCUUUCCCUUUUCCCAUCCACCCGGUCCUGCUCUCACAUGCUUUCUAUCCAAACCCAUUUUUAAGAGGGACACAGUGGGAUCCUGCUCCUCAUGCCCCUACCCCCCCCCCCCCCCCCCCCCCCCCCCCCUUUUUUUUUUCUUUUUUUUUUUUUGUGGUGUGUGUGUUUUGUUUUAGAGUUCAAAUGCACUUUCUGCCUGCUUGGGUUAUUCUUUUUCCGUCGUGACUUUGAUUUUAAAAAAACCCCAACGUAUCAGUCUCUCCGCCUUCUCCCCAGUAGAGCCCACCACAGAAAUGUUCUGAAAGGCUAGUGAAGAAUCCUGUUUUACAGCUCAAAAUAAACAUACGGAUCAGCUGCAUUAAAAGCACUUCUUUGAAA
Parus major (Great Tit) is the source of this 1766-nucleotide long non-coding RNA. RefSeq lists it as uncharacterized. NCBI's taxonomy places the organism in Eukaryota, Metazoa, Chordata, Aves, Passeriformes, Paridae. The transcript is spliced from 2 exons. The record is from RefSeq and is a predicted model, not a curated record.